UACGGAGGGUGCGAGCGUUGUCCGGAAUCACUGGGCGUAAAGGGCGCGUAGGUGGCUUCUCAAGCGCGCGGUGAAAGCCCGGGGCUCAACCCCGGGUCGGCCGUGCGGACUGGGAGGCUCGAGUCCGGAAGAGGAGUGUGGAAUUCCUGGUGUAGCGGUGAAAUGCGCAGAUAUCAGGAGGAACACCAAUGGCGAAGGCAGCACUCUGGGACGUGACUGACGCUGAGACGCGAAAGCGUGGGGAGCAAACAGG
This 253-nucleotide ribosomal RNA is filed under the name uncultured bacterium. RNAcentral describes it as "partial 16S ribosomal RNA". It matches the Rfam family "Bacterial small subunit ribosomal RNA", at positions 524 to 776 of the family's 1533-position model. The record is from RNAcentral.